Molecule: ribosomal RNA, 331 nt
Filed under: Salmonella enterica subsp. enterica serovar Typhi
Lineage: Bacteria; Pseudomonadati; Pseudomonadota; Gammaproteobacteria; Enterobacterales; Enterobacteriaceae
Description: partial 23S ribosomal RNA
Rfam family: Bacterial large subunit ribosomal RNA
Source: RNAcentral
AGGGAAACAACCCAGACCGCCAGCUAAGGUCCCAAAGUCAUGGUUAAGUGGGAAACGAUGUGGGAAGGCCCAGACAGCCAGGAUGUUGGCUUAGAAGCAGCCAUCAUUUAAAGAAAGCGUAAUAGCUCACUGGUCGAGUCGGCCUGCGCGGAAGAUGUAACGGGGCUAAACCAUGCACCGAAGCUGCGGCAGCGACACUCAGGUGUUGUUGGGUAGGGGAGCGUUCUGUAAGCCUGUGAAGGUGGCCUGUGAGGGUUGCUGGAGGUAUCAGAAGUGCGAAUGCUGACAUAAGUAACGAUAAAGCGGGUGAAAAGCCCGCUCGCCGGAAGAC